This 464-nucleotide ribosomal RNA is filed under the name uncultured bacterium. Its description in RNAcentral is "partial 16S ribosomal RNA". It matches the Rfam family "Bacterial small subunit ribosomal RNA", at positions 338 to 795 of the family's 1533-position model. The record is from RNAcentral.
CCUACGGGAGGCAGCAGUAGGGAAUUUUCGUCAAUGGGCGCAAGCCUGAACGAGCAAUGCCGCGUGAACGAAGAAGGUCUUCGGAUCGUAAAGUUCUGUUGAAGGGGAAAAAGAGCGGAGAGAGGAAAUGAACUCCGAUUGAUAUUACCCUUCGAGGAAGUCACGGCUAACUACGUGCCAGCAGCCGCGGUAAUACGUAGGUGGCGAGGGUUAUCCGGAAUGAUUGGGCGGAAAGGGUGCGUAGGCGGCCUGCUAAGUCUGGAGUGAAAGGUACCGGCUCAACCGGUACAGGCUCUGGAAACUGGCGGGCUAGAGAGCAGGAGAGGGCGGUGGAACUCCAUGUGUAGCGGUAAAAUGCGUAGAUAUAUGGAAGAACACCAGUGGCGAAGGCGGCCGCCUGGCCUGUUACUGACGCUGAGGCACGAAAGCGUGGGGAGCAAAUAGGAUUAGAUACCCCAGUAGUC